GAAGGGAGCCGGGAAGAGGGAGAGGAAAGGCGACUACUUAAAGUUGGCGGAAAGUUUGGUUCGGCAGCAAAGUUAACUCAGUUAAGUUCUCCGCUCCUAAAGCGAAACUUCGGUUCUCCAACGCCUGUGCCUGCCUGCCUCUGCCUCUGCCUGUGCUUGCCCUCCAUCCUCUUCUCUCUUACCCUUCCCUUUUCCCUCCCUUUCUCUUUCUCCGUUCGUCCCGCGCGCUUCGCACAGUCUUGGCCACCCUACCGAUUCCGUCGGUGCUACAGGAAUAAGUAAUGUGUUUUGGAAUUAGCACUGUUCCGGGAGAGUUUUCACGCAGAACAUCGAUCGCCAUUGAUCGGCCGGGGUAUCACUCUCGUUUUUGAUUGUACCGCAGAGGUCGUAUUCACGUGGGGACCCGAGCAAACUGCGUUUCCAAGUUCCUGCAUUGAGAAGAGCCCCGCCGACGCGAGUGAAAGGAAUUGAGAACGGGUCUUAUCGGUUUGAUUUUCGAUUUGGUAAACGCGGCGCCGCGAACGAGGGUUGUAAGAAUUUGUCAGUGCCGUUUGGAAGGUGGCUAAACGCGGAAUUGCAGUGGGAAAUCGAGACCGUGGCUUUUCGGGGAACGAGGCGAAGAAUCGCGCGUAAAACCGCGAAAAAAGUAAAAGUGACUCCCCGGAAACGGCUAGGCAAGAGAGACCCCGUAAAGUUCAGCGAAACGCUCCAGGAAGAAGGAUGUGUCCCCACUCUACACUGAACUCCUUCAGCCACUCCGGCACCGAUCGAAAUUCCGAGACAAAGUUUGCGAAAUUCCGAGGAAAGCGCGUGGUCGUUUAACGUUUCGCGUGAUGCCCCCUUCGCACAUGCACGCGUGGAAGCUUGUAAGCAUCGUUUUGUAACAGAUACCAGUCGUCGUGGUCGAGUACUGUCCCUCCUUUGAUGGCACGGCCGAGCAAAAAAAGAAACCGGUCCAGUUGGUACUUACGAGAGGAGGUUUAUCUUUCGCGAUUCGCCUAUGUGGCUCAAAAAGAAGUUACGAGCGUUCUCUCGGCUUCAGAGGAAAAAGAAACUUCCUAGAUGCCGUUUUGGAACAACAACUGGAUCGAAAAAACGAAUUGAUCUUUAUUCUCGCGUGUCCGAAGCCCAACGUGCCUCCCGCAACGAUAAUAAACAGCUUUAAUAUCGGAACAGAUGCUUGAACCGUGAAAUGUCAAUUUUUUGGAGGACUAUCAAAGUGCUGAGCACAAUGGGCUUUUCUGUAAACAUUCUCCAAAAAUAGUUUCUCAUAAAGCGUGAUAUAUAUGUAUAUAUACUUCAGAACCGAACCAACAGGGAAAUGAAGGACGAAGAAAUGGAAGAGAAAGUAAUAUGAUGUCGGACAAAGUAUUCCUCAAACUCCGUGAAUUCAGUCGGCCUUGAGAAUGCGCCCGGCACUGCGAAUGUCGAUGCACAUGCAACGCGCGCCUGCAACGUGGACUCCGGUAUCCCUUCUCUGUUACGCACUGAUCGAUAUAGGUGCACGCAUUAAUACCUCGGCGCUUUUACAGGGUGACACUUGAUCAAUUUGGCUCGCCCAGUGACUCAUCACGAUAGAUAGACGGAGUGCUCAACUUUGCAAGCUAAUUUCAACAAUAUUUGCGUAAUCGUUUCGCACUGUAUAUUGUACACACAUCAAUGAGUCACACGUUAAUAGCUGUACGUAUUUGAAAUUCGAACUUUUAAUCUUUGUUUCACGUUUCAUUGGAGGGAAGCCGGUAUUUCCUCUCUAUCGAGACACUGUAUUAUUCAGUGUAAAAGAAGUUAGGGAGUUCAGAGAACGAGAAAGCAUUAUACAGUAUUUCUUGCGAAAAUUGCGUUAUUAUAAAGACUGCAAAUAAUGUGAGAUUUUCUGUAGCUUUUCUUCCAGCUUGCUUCUAUCGUAGCAUGGGAAACUUUUGUAAAAUAUUUUUCGACCCUCGUGGUACCCUAGUUAUUUCAAAAUGCUUGAUGAAUUUUGCAGAAACGAAAUCUAAUAACUUCAAAGUCAACUGUAGAUGAGUAGUAGAGAUAUCAGGAUGGGAAAUUGCUGUCGUACAGUCCCCGUUGACAUUGAAGUGUUGUGAAAUUUAAAACCCUCGUUCCAGCUACUCAAGACGGUAGAGUCAGUGUUGGCAAACACAGAGAAAGAAUAGAAAGGUGCUCUUGUUUGUUCGAGAGUUCUUUUUCGGCGUUCUGUCUGCGCACACGUGCCCUUCUUCACGCCUCACUUAAUUUACGAUUUCACUAUCUCGGUGGUGGACCAAGCGAAGAUCGUCCAUUCGCAUGACUUCACCGUUAGGUCAAGAAGGGCUCGAUCGAGCACCAUACAAAAAAAGAACAAUACCAGUACGUUCAAGACAUGUGCCAGCUCAUGUCCCCUAUUCAUGGUAGGGAACGCGAUGAAUAUACCCUUGUUAAGUUUCAAAGUUACACACACUCUACCGACUUUGCCAACCCCUCCUCUUUACGGUUCCCUAUAUCCUCUUCCGCUCUGAAUCAGAAUUUUCCACAUAAACCGCCGACUAACUUUUCUUAUUGUUUCCGCACCCGUACUGUACGUGCUUCAUAGAUUAAAUCGCGCCUAACGGAACGAAGAGCGUUGCUUGUUCAAUCUGCGACAUGCCACUCAGAUCUGCCAAAAAUCAUUUUUGUCAGAAAGUAUGAGAUUAAUGGUCGCAAAGAAAACCUAGCUCCUUGAACGAUUCCUAAAUCUUUAUCCGAAUCAGAGGGAAUACAGGUGCCAUUAACCUUCAUAUGAUAGGACCUACAUCUAUUUUGACUGAGAGUUACAAUUGUUAUAACUGAAUAUUUAACAGUUGAAAUUAUGAACUGUAUUAAUCACUAUGUACAAUAAGAAGAUAGAGUGUUCCCAAUUUAUCCAAGUAGACGGCUUUCAACGAUCCAAGCCUAGCAUGUCGACUAAAGCGACUUAAUCAGUGCAGUAAGAUGACCAAUACGGUUGUAAAAGUAACGUUAAUCCAUUAGUAAUAGCUAAUGAGCUACAACCCAUUACCCACGGUGGUUUACAAUGGGAACAAGUUCGUCUGUGUAUCAGAGCACCAAUUUAUAACUUGCUUUGCGCCCGCCACGGUUCGCAGGAACGUCAAAUGACCCGAGAACUUUAUUGGCGCUGAUAAAAAUUCAGACAUUCCGAAGCAAAAAAUUUUCUGAAGUUUAGCGCCCUCUUCGAGCAACUUCCUGAUGCAAUUUUUUGGAUUUUAAUAAGCCGGGCUGAAAGUAACAUCGGAAAACCAUGGGUUAGCCGAACACCCCGUAUAGACAGCUUCAUAUAGGACCGCAAAGUGUAUACAAACGAUUUUCUUCCUUUUCCACGCGCGCGCGUUUCUCGUGGAACAACGAUGAGUGAACCUUGUACACUUGUUUCUCCUCGUACUCGUACACCUACGCUCUUGGUUGCUCGUUCGCUACGUAAUACGUACGCGCGGAGGACAAAAAAAGUCGCUUCUCGCGUCUUCUCAGUCUCUCCUGGCCUCUUUCUCCUCUCUCUAUAUCUCCCUCUCUCGGUCUCUCUUGUUCCCUCUCGUUCCGGUCGUCUCCAACGGUCGCGUACGCUCGCUCGUCGGCUCGACCUAUGCGCGCGCGGCGCACACCAAUACAGAGUUACACAGCGGGUUAGGACAAGUGCGUAGAGAGCGGCAGAGAGUAGUUUCAUGGAGUUUAGUUCCUCGUAGUGGAUAUGGCAUCUUGACUCCUAGUAGUGGAGUGUGGCAAGCAAUGGUCGGCUCGAUCGAUGUCUCGGCAACUUCCCACCCUCGACAGUCUGCCCCACUCUUCACGACACGUCCCCCCAGCUCCCAGACCCCCUCUCAGCACCACCAUUCCAACCCCACUCCAACUCUCCUCAUCCCAACCGUCAGAUUCCCCGUCUCGCUCAACCACCUCCCGCUGUCCUCAUCCUCCGACACAUCGAACUAAAUCCCGGAGCUGCUUACUGCUUCCAAGUCUGUUUACAAUGGCGAUGCGCUACCCCCAUUAUCCCGAGGUCGUACUUCACGUUUGAACUAAAUCGCGUCGCUCGGCGCGGACGAACCUAUUUUUUCCUUUUCCCCCCUGCCCCGGAAGUUGCGACUCUUUGUUUGUUUUAGCUCGUCCAUGCCCCGCGAUCCCGCUCGCGAAUUACUAACUAUUUUGGACCAGGGUCUGUUGCUACUGAGGAAUCUCGGGUGCCAUCGAAAUGUUAGGUACAAGAUAUUCGACAGGCAGGUGGUUUGGAUUUUUGGGGCCGACUGUAUCCGCGAAUGUCCACAUAACCAACUAAAUGCUAACGGGCUAUCGAUUUCUAGAGUUUCGUAUACUAAAGACAACUGUUGUAAGAAUGCAAGCGACUCGUCAAUAAAGCUGUGGACAACAUUUCGACCGAGGAAAGAGUUAUUUCAAACGCCCUCAGGAAUCACCCCCUUUUGGGACACCCUGUAUAUGCUGCGCGAUCCAUGAGUAAAACGCGCGCAACACUGCAGCCCUUCCACGACCCAGCAGUAAACAUAGGAUUCGUGGCCAUGCUUCAAGAUUACGUUUCCGGUAUAGGAGAGGAUGGAAAUUCCAGCAACAAUGCAACCAUAUUUCUCGUUUGGGACAAUCCCUCAAUCCUCAACAAUUCUCACCUCGAGUACAAAAAGAACGGUUCCACGGACUUUUGUUUGCGACAGAGGUUUACAGAGCUGGCAAGGACUAAUUCUGGAAUGGGUACACCCUCAUAAACUGUUAAGAAUGACUUUCGUCUUGGGGAGGACACGCCUUGCGCAGUCCCCUGGGGCAUUUUCCAUUUCGUUACGGAAAAUCAAGUAUUGAAUCUCAGGUAACUCGGACAGUGACGGCGGCAAUGGUAGGAAGGACAAAUAUGUAGCUCGUUUAACGACGGGGAUGUAUCCCAAGAAACGGCUUCGUUAAGAGAAACUUUCUUGUCAGAAUAAGGAAAUAGCCAUCCAUCGACAAAAUUACGCAUACGCAAAAUUAAGCAACUUGAAACACUAGUUAGACGUCGACUAUCUGAAGUUUUCUUUUCUUCUUUUUAAUAACGACAUCUUUUUUUACAAUUUCAAGGAAUCGGGUCGGUUACAUGAAAACUUCCUUUUCCAAGAACUGUGAGAUAUUUGUUCUCAGAACUUAUGGUACAAGGAAUCUUAGAUUGGGGAGCUUCUGUAAUUGCAGUUCUCUAUAAAAUUCCAAUAAAACUUUAGAGCAUCGUUUAACAGGAUAGUCUUUAAGCAAGUAAAAGUAAUGAUACUUUGCAUUGAUAAAGACAGUUUACGCAACAAAACGGAAAGUUUUUCUAUUUAGAGGAUACUGUACAGUUCUCGGGCGUACCAAAAAAAAAAGUCUGGUUACUUAGUUUCGAAGCAGCAUGUAGAACGUCGCUUCUGUGUAGCCCGUGGACAAUCGAUGUAACCACUCUCUCGUGCCUUUUACCGCACUUGUACGGAUCCCGGACGAAGUGUAACGAUGCCGAGAGAUCGAUAAUAACCGCCGCGGUUUGGUUCCACCCGAGCCUCGUACGAGACAGGGACACUUUUUCCCCUUUACCGGCGUUCCUCCGUCUCCCUUUCGCGUUCUCCUCAUCUGGCCAGCAUGCACUAUCUCUUUUCACCUCGCGACGAUUUCACGCUGUAAUUACGCGACAAAAAUUGAUGAAAGACAAGAAGCGACAAGUCUCUGAUCGUGUUGUGUUUUCACCCCCUUUCUCCCCAUACUACUUUUCACCUGAGGUUUUCGAAUUUAGCACAGCUUGAACUGACAAAAGAAUUUCUUUUUUAUCGAAUAUAAAUUAGUAUUCGUCGACGAUAUUUUAGAUAAGAUCAAACGGUUGGACUUCCCAAAACGAUUUUUGUAUAAGAAAAUGUACGUAUGAUAAGAAUGCAAAACGCUUUUAAGUUACAUCAAGAUAACGACUCCGAAAAUAGAUCUCAAAUAGUGUCAGAAUAUUUCCUUUGCGAUUGUCUGAAAUAUUCAGCUAAGAUUAUCUUGAAUACUAAAAAAUGUUAAAAUGAACUCAAUUGCAAUACAGACUUUCUUAUCCAAAGGUUUAUUUUUGUAAUAUCCUGAUAGCAAAAUAUUAUAUUAUCUAAAAAUUUUAUUCAAGUUCUCUGCUAGGCGAUAAUAUAUCUAAAUGAUAUAAUAGUUAGUUAAAAUAAAACGUUUGGAUACAAGAAUAUCGUAAAAAUAAAUGUUCGGAUAAAGGAGACUCUAAGGUAUUUAAGAAAAAUAGUGAAAACACCCAAUGGAAAUACCGAUAGACGUAAAUACAAGAUAAUGUAAAUUUUGUGCACGCGGAGUGGUCUAAUUUUCCAUACAAUUACGCAAAAUUGUUUCUCUUUUUGUGCGCUAUGAAAUCGGAGACAGCACGGUAUCCGAAUAUUAAUGUCAGUAACGGUACUCGAUUCUAUAAAUACCGAAGAAAUGGAAGAUCGUCAAGGGAGAUAACCGCAAAUUUUUCGCAUUAUCGUUCCAUUAUCAGUGCAGGCAGAUAACAUUUCCAAAUAGGCAGUUACGUGUACCCGGCACAUCUGUACCCCAUAUAUCCAAGACUUAUGCAAGUUGUAUAACGAAUCAAUUUCGCUCAGCGCAUUACGUCCGGUAAAGGGAAAAUAUAAUCAAGCGGGUUCUGCAAACGCUCCAAGCCGUGCUCUUAUCUCGAUCGUCGAGUUUGCUGUGAUUAAUAGGUAUACGCCGAGUACAUACUUUCGCGAUGAAGCCGCUGCCGCCAUCGCUGUUACAUUUUUAAACCGGACGCCAUCGAGUUUAGGCGGCGACGCUGCUCGGAAGGCGAUAAACAAUCAUCGCGGGACGCGUAUCUUUCCGUGCGAAACGAGACUCGACAAACAAUAACAGAUCCUUGGCGACCUCGUCGUUCCCCCUGAACCAUGAAUCAUUGAUAACACCGUCGAAUCCGUUGCUCACGAAAAUUCUAGUUAAAAUGCCUAUCGACUGCGAUUAUUCGAACCGAUUACGCGCUAUGCCGGGACUCGGCUCGGGUAAUCGGUCCCGGGUAGACAAUGCGUCGCGGCAAAAUUGAAUGCCAGUAUUUUAACACGUUUGCGAAUGACGCUUGACGGUCCAUUAUACCAGUGCAAAGAUCGUGUACAUUUCGAAACGUGAAAUUCUUUGACGGUAAAACCUGUCUAUUUUUACGACUUGAUUUUUAACGAGGCUACUUAUUGCAGAAUCGAGAAGAAAUUUGGACGAAAAGUUUCUAAACGAGCAGAAAUUUGGUAACGCUGAAUUAACAAGUAACGUUUUUAAUUUAUUAUAUAAAUUUCACGUAACAGUUGGGAGCAAAUUGCGGCGAGGGUACUCUGAAUAGAUCUUGCUAAGAAAACUUUGUUUACGUUCACACUGAGGGCAAUAAUAAUAAUGCUAGCAGAUCGGUUACAUUGAUUUUUGUGAACAGCCUUUGGUAAACAAUGCAUUUCGAUACAUUGUUUAUAACAGAAUAUAUUUCGAAUGGCCUAAUCUAGUUUCACCGAUUUCCUGUAAAUACUUGUUUCGGGAAUUGUGGAACGGUUCGAUGCGUUGCCCCCCUCCCCCACCUAUUCGACGAAUUUCACCGAAUAUGCUAAGUGCAAGGUUUUUUACCGUUCGCUGUAAACGCUACCGUGACGUUUCUGUUUCACGGUGAUCAAUCAGCGGAUGGGUUAAUCCAGGGGAAGCUGGCUCGGCAACGAAGAUAUUCGUCGGAAGUGCGAGAGAAAGAGGGGAAAGAGGCUGAAAAGAGAAAGACAAAAAACAAAGAAGACUCUGUCGGUCAGUGACGGUGGCUCGAGACGACCUCCUUCGUCAAGCCGAACGACUUAACUUUCUCGAAGGAUAACACGUCUGCUCGUUUCCUUUCUCCGGGCACGGCCGCGGGAGAUGGAUUUACGCGGCGCCAAUGAGGAAAACGUAAAUAUACAAGACGCCGCGCAUACACACCGCGGGCCGGCCGGCCGUGAGUGGGUUUCCAGUUAAAAAGAAACAGCGAAGUGUCGCGACGUGAAUACAGGUCACAACAUCGCUGAAUAAGCAACCGAGCGUACACCGUUGCUCUCCGCGCGUUCAGCAAAUUACGUAAGGCCAGAACGGGAGCUCGUUUAAAUACCGACACAAUCAACGAUGAAUAAGUAAGUUACGUGCAUGUGGCGCGCGAGCGCGCACCUCACACCGUUCCGGAACAAAAUAAGGGAAAUGUGCGCGACGUUCGUUCCAUAUUCGUGUUAAAUUCGGCGAAAGUUACGCAACCCUGGCCGACGCCGAUGUCCUUUAGGACUUAUCGUUAGCCUUCGAACUACGAUCGAAGCCGAAAAUGCGUGGAGCACACCGGUGCUUUUACGAGAGAACAUACUGGGCUGAUUUUGCCAAGUAUUUUGGUAAAAUCUGUGCUUCUUUCUGUCAAUUUUUGCUCUGCCAGCACGCGUGCAUUUUACUGAAUAAAUUGAAAUAAAUAGAGGUGUCUCAAACGUGUAGAUUGCUUGUAAAUGGCACAUAAUUACAAUUUCGGUAGUUGCAAGAUCCUUUUAGUUCAAGUAGUUCGUAAGUUGUUUAGAUAUCUAUCACUCCCAACUUUGAGGGUUGCGCCCCUCCAACAUGAAAGUAGUUUAGCGUAUGUUAAGAUCCUGCUAAAGUUGUAUCAAAAUCUACAAUUACUGUGUCUCAAUAUGCUUCUUCUUUAGCGGGGGCUUGCGUACGUCUCUCCCACCUCUAUUUCAUACAAUUGGAAGUGAUUAGUAAGAAACGUGUUCGAUCUUCAAUAUGUUGCAGUCAUUUGAACCCUGUAGUUCAGAUUAGUAGGUCGUUAGCAUGCUUUAUCACUUCCAACGGAAGCUUGUUAACCGAGUCCGGCAAGAACAUCGAACUCUUGGAAAGCUAGGCCUACACGCCAAUUUAGGUGUCACCGACGAUAGGCCUAAUCUAAAGUACAUUUUUUAAUCAAAUUGUUUACGCGACGCUGAUAUUUUUUCGAGAACUCUCGCGUGCAGAAUCUGUAGGAGGAAACGUACUUGUUGCUCCGAAACCGCGGUUACCGUUAUUUAGUCUACGAUAUAUUGUUAUUAGGAAAUAUUGUCAUCACGUUGAAUCGGAACGCGACAUCCAUUCCGAAGCCAUGGAUUUGAAUAGGAAAUAUCGUCGUUGAAAUUGUCAAAAAUAGUUAUUUUAAUUUUGGUAAUUAAUACCAGCUUCGGUAAUUAAUACCAGUCAUGUAAACAUGACACUGGCGGUUGACAUUUUUCCUUUCUGCGAACAGAUAAUUGGAGUAUGUAUACUUCAUCGAUGAAUCAUAACGCUUGGUUGAAGCGUAGCGUAGUCAUUAAGUCGUUAUACGCUCGCGACAAUUUAUAAAAAUAAAUAAAACGCAUGUAAUCAAUGUCCGUCGGUACAAGUUAAAUAAUAUGAGCUAAAAGAUAGCGAGCCACUUCAAUAUUUUAAUGACUGAAAGAUAACGUAAAAGAUAAUACACGUAAUACCGUGUAGAGCUCUUUUGCAAUAAUAAAGAAAAAGCUGUGGGUACCCGAAAAGGAAUCCGUCAGCAACGAUAUAAGAGGGAAA
Molecule: non-coding RNA, 9540 nt
Organism: Megalopta genalis
Lineage: Eukaryota; Metazoa; Arthropoda; Insecta; Hymenoptera; Halictidae
Source: RefSeq, a predicted model, not a curated record